GGGGAUAACAUUUGGAAACAGAUGCUAAUACCGCAUAACAAUUUGAAUCGCAUGAUUCAAAUUUAAAAGAUGGCUUCGGCUAUCACUUUGGGAUGGACCUGCGGCGCAUUAGCUUGUUGGUAGGGUAACGGCCUACCAAGGCUGUGAUGCGUAGCCGAGUUGAGAGACUGAUCGGCCACAAUGGAACUGAGACACGGUCCAUACUCCUACGGGAGGCAGCAGUAGGGAAUCUUCCACAAUGGGCGCAAGCCUGAUGGAGCAACACCGCGUGAGUGAAGAAGGGUUUCGGCUCGUAAAGCUCUGUUGUUAGAGAAGAACGUGCGUGAGAGCAACUGUUCACGCAGUGACGGUAUCUAACCAGAAAGUCACGGCUAACUACGUGCCAGCAGCCGCGGUAAUACGUAGGUGGCAAGCGUUAUCCGGAUUUAUUGGGCGUAAAGCGAGCGCAGGCGGUUUGAUAAGUCUGAUGUGAAAGCCUUUGGCUUAACCAAAGAAGUGCAUCGGAAACUGUCAGACUUGAGUGCAGAAGAGGACAGUGGAACUCCAUGUGUAGCGGUGGAAUGCGUAGAUAUAUGGAAGAACACCAGUGGCGAAGGCGGCUGUCUGGUCUGCAACUGACGCUGAGGCUCGAAAGCAUGGGUAGCGAACAGGAUUAGAUACCCUGGUAGUCCAUGCCGUAAACGAUGAGUGCUAGGUGUUGGAGGGUUUCCGCCCUUCAGUGCCGCAGCUAACGCAUUAAGCACUCCGCCUGGGGAGUACGACCGCUAGGUUGAAACUCAAAGGAAUUGACGGGGGCCCGCACAAGCGGUGGAGCAUGUGGUUUAAUUCGAAGCUACGCGAAGAACCUUACCAGGUCUUGACAUCUUGCGCCAACCCUAGAGAUAGGGCGUUUCCUUCGGGAACGCAAUGACAGGUGGUGCAUGGUCGUCGUCAGCUCGUGUCGUGAGAUGUUGGGUUAAGUCCCGCAACGAGCGCAACGCUUGUUACUAGUUGCCAGCAUUCAGUUGGGCACUCUAGUGAGACUGCCGGUGACAAACCGGAGGAAGGUGGGGACGACGUCAGAUCAUCAUGCCCCUUAUGACCUGGGCUACACACGUGCUACAAUGGACGGUACAACGAGUCGCGAACUCGCGAGGGCAAGCUAAUCUCUUAAAACCGUUCUCAGUUCGGACUGCAGGCUGCAACUCGGG
Molecule: ribosomal RNA, 1190 nt
Filed under: Limosilactobacillus mucosae
Lineage: Bacteria; Bacillati; Bacillota; Bacilli; Lactobacillales; Lactobacillaceae
Description: bacterial SSU rRNA
Rfam family: Bacterial small subunit ribosomal RNA
Source: RNAcentral